UACGUAGGUGACCAGCGUUGUCCGGAUUUACUGGGCGUAAAGAGCGCGCAGGCGGUCGUUCAAGUCGAGUGUGAAAGUCCCCGGCUCAACUGGGGAGGGUCACUCGAUACUGAUCGACUUGAAGGCAGGAGAGGGAAGCGGAAUUCCCGGUGUAGUGGUGAAAUGCGUAGAUAUCAGGAGGAACACCGGUGGCGAAGGCGGAUCUCUGGGCCGUAACUGACGCUGAGGAGCGAAAGCAUGGGGAGCGAACAGG
Molecule: ribosomal RNA, 253 nt
Filed under: uncultured bacterium
Lineage: Bacteria
Description: partial 16S ribosomal RNA
Rfam family: Bacterial small subunit ribosomal RNA
Source: RNAcentral